CAUGGUCGUAAGUCUUACUCUCAGUACGUCCACCAGGAGAAGGUUGAAAAAAACAAGGACGUGGACUUGGUGGAUUUGUUCGAGAUUAAGCACAAGAAGAAGAAGGAUAAACAAUGGGAACACCCGAUGGUUGAAGAAAUACAUUCUCAGCUCAAGAAGAAGAAGGAGG
This is a long non-coding RNA of Erigeron canadensis, 169 nucleotides long. RefSeq lists it as uncharacterized. The transcript has 3 exons. The record is from RefSeq and is a predicted model, not a curated record. Lineage: Eukaryota; Viridiplantae; Streptophyta; Magnoliopsida; Asterales; Asteraceae.